RNAcentral lists this ribosomal RNA (209 nucleotides) under uncultured bacterium. Its description in RNAcentral is "partial 16S ribosomal RNA". It matches the Rfam family "Bacterial small subunit ribosomal RNA", at positions 568 to 775 of the family's 1533-position model. The record is from RNAcentral.
UGCGUAGGUGGCGCCAUAAGUCAGGUGUGAAAUCUCGGGGCUUAACUCCGAAACUGCAUUUGAUACUGUGGUGCUUGAGGACUGGAGAGGAGACUGGAAUUUACGGUGUAGCAGUGAAAUGCGUAGAGAUCGUAAGGAAGACCAGUGGCGAAGGCGGGUCUCUGGACAGUUCCUGACACUGAGGCACGAAGGGCCAGGGGAGGCAAACG